GACGGUACUGCCUUAGCAAGCAUCGGCUAACUCUGUGCCAGCAGCCGCGGUAAGACAGAGGAUGCGAACGUUGCUCGGAUUUACUGGGCGUAAAGCGCGUGUAGGCGGUCUCGUUAGUCGGGUGUGAAAGCCCCGGGCUCAACCCGGGAAGUGCACCCGAUACUGCGAGACUGGGGUACUGAAGAGGAGAGCGGAAUUCCCGGUGUAGAGGUGAAAUUCGUAGAUAUCGGGAGGAACACCAGUGGCGAAGGCGGCUCUCUGGGCAGAUACCGACGCUGAGACGCGAAAGCGUGGGGAGCAAACAGGAUUAGAUACCCUGGUAGCCACGCUGUAAACGAUGACGACUGGGUGUUGCAGGUAUUGACCCCUGCGGUGCCGAAGCCAACGCGUUAAGUCGUCCGCCUGGGAAGUACGGCCGCAAGGCUAAAACUCAAAGGAAUUG
Molecule: ribosomal RNA, 442 nt
Filed under: uncultured bacterium
Lineage: Bacteria
Description: bacterial SSU rRNA
Rfam family: Bacterial small subunit ribosomal RNA
Source: RNAcentral